RNAcentral lists this long non-coding RNA (427 nucleotides) under Ananas comosus (pineapple). RNAcentral's name for it is "long non-coding RNA (ACOM_LNC029893)". The record is from RNAcentral. Lineage: Eukaryota; Viridiplantae; Streptophyta; Magnoliopsida; Poales; Bromeliaceae.
AAACUUAUGAUUUUGGUCUAUAUCCAAAUCAAUCCUGAACUGAAAUCCGAAGCCGAAAACAAAACCAAAAUCAUAUAAAAACAUACUAUAUAUAAAAUACAAUUUUUAUAUAUUUUUAAUAAUUAAUAUAUUAAUAAUUUAAUUUAAUGUUUAGUAUAUUAAAUAAUCAAAUUUAGGUUUAUAAAAAUUAUCUUGAAAUAUCUAUUAGUAUUUCUACUGUUGAUAAGAGAUGAAGGGUAAAAAUGACAUUCUAAAAGUAUAACUCCAUUUCACAGGAAUCUUAACGGAACUUAACUAAUGAAGAGCAUUUAUGAUAAUUUUUGAUAUAUUUGAUGGCAUUCGUGAUAUUAUCACUUUUAGAAGGGUAUUAAUGAAAUUCAUAGUCCCUAGAAGGGCAUCUAUGAAAUUAUCCCUUUUUUUUUUAUAU